Molecule: long non-coding RNA, 376 nt
Filed under: Nicotiana benthamiana
Lineage: Eukaryota; Viridiplantae; Streptophyta; Magnoliopsida; Solanales; Solanaceae
Description: long non-coding RNA (NBEN_LNC017636)
Source: RNAcentral
AGGAAUUUUAUUCAUUAUGGCCUUACUAAUAAAUCACACGAUAUGUUUGCCAUUGCUGAUAAGAAGCAGAUUACUUCUGUUAGCAUGAAGCCAGAUUUGGCAGAAUCAACAAAAUCACAAGCGGGCCGAUAUAGGCCUCCACACUUACGAAAUAAAAAUCUGAAAAAUUUGCAGUUGGAGGAUGCGAAAUCUCUAACACUAUCAUCUGAGUCAACAAAAUCACAAGCGGGCCGAUAUAGACCUCCACACUUACGAAAUAAAAAUCUGAAAAAUUUGCAGUUGGAGGAUGAGAAAUCUCUAACACUAUCAUCUGAUUCAGAAAACAGUGAUAAUGAUGGAUCAGGGAGGGUUACUUGCAAUACACCCUAUGCUAAGA